GGGCGAUUAGCUCAGAGGUUAGAGCGUCUGUUUUACACACAGAAGGCCGGGGGUUCAAGUCCCUCAUCGCCCA
This 73-nucleotide transfer RNA is filed under the name Dehalococcoidia bacterium. RNAcentral's name for it is "tRNA-Val". It matches the Rfam family "tRNA". From Rfam's summary of the family: Transfer RNA (tRNA) molecules are approximately 80 nucleotides in length. Their secondary structure includes four short double-helical elements and three loops (D, anti-codon, and T loops). Lineage: Bacteria; Bacillati; Chloroflexota; Dehalococcoidia. The record is from RNAcentral.